Molecule: long non-coding RNA, 653 nt
Filed under: Monodelphis domestica (gray short-tailed opossum)
Lineage: Eukaryota; Metazoa; Chordata; Mammalia; Didelphimorphia; Didelphidae
Description: lncRNA (ENSMODG00000039165.1)
Source: RNAcentral
GUAUCUAAACCUCUAUAAAAACAGAGGUUAUAGUUCAGCAAAACUGCUUUUUUUCCUUGCUACUAUCAACAGUGGCCCUCCUUUCUGCUCUGUGUUCUCUCUAAUUUCUCUCAUUCUUCUUAUCACCUUUGAGGAUCCCGACAGGUUAGGCCUGACAAGUGGCAUUUAAUGUGGGGUCCAAGAAGGUACACUGAGGGAUUAGAGGUUACUCCUCCUAUGUCCAUGAUUUCUCCUUUAUAGCAGACCUUAUCAAGAAUGCAGAAGAUGGGACGAAAUGUUAUAGUAUUUUUCUUUUCCGGUGUUGGAGCAAACAUGCACAGGGAUAAGAAUAAUUCAAUGAAUGAAAAGGAAACGAAGCAAAAAAAAAGUAUUCUAAAUAGAGAUAAUAAAAUAGUUGCCCACCAGAGUAAUAGAAGAUUUAGAAAUUGACUUCAGCAAAUUGCUCCACCUGAAACUCAUGUUCCUGGGACUACUCUUCUUCCCUCCUUUUGCUUGCAGGAAGUAAGAGGUAAAUAUCUGAGAAUUUUACCCUAAUCCUCCUGCUUUUAAGGACAACACUCAAAGAAUUCUUCUCAUUUCUCACCUCGCAAUUUCCCUGGACAUUGUCAUCUUCAGAAAUACAUGAUUCUACAAAAUAAAUUUGACUGAUAAAC